GGGUUGUGAGGUUAAGCGACUAAGCGUACACGGUGGAUGCCCUGGCAGUCAGAGGCGAUGAAGGACGUGCUAAUCUGCGAUAAGCGUCGGUAAGGUGAUAUGAACCGUUAUAACCGGCGAUUUCCGAAUGGGGAAACCCAGUGUGUUUCGACACACUAUCAUUAACUGAAUCCAUAGGUUAAUGAGGCGAACCGGGGGAACUGAAACAUCUAAGUACCCCGAGGAAAAGAAAUCAACCGAGAUUCCCCCAGUAGCGGCGAGCGAACGGGGAGGAGCCCAGAGCCUGAAUCAGUGUGUGUGUUAGUGGAAGCGUCUGGAAAGGCGCGCGAUACAGGGUGACAGCCCCGUACACAAAAAUGCACAUGCUGUGAGCUCGAUGAGUAGGGCGGGACACGUGGUAUCCUGUCUGAAUAUGGGGGGACCAUCCUCCAAGGCUAAAUACUCCUGACUGACCGAUAGUGAACCAGUACCGUGAGGGAAAGGCGAAAAGAACCCCGGCGAGGGGAGUGAAAAAGAACCUGAAACCGUGUACGUACAAGCAGUGGGAGCACGCUUAGGCGUGUGACUGCGUACCUUUUGUAUAAUGGGUCAGCGACUUAUAUUCUGUAGCAAGGUUAACCGAAUAGGGGAGCCGAAGGGAAACCGAGUCUUAACUGGGCGUUAAGUUGCAGGGUAUAGACCCGAAACCCGGUGAUCUAGCCAUGGGCAGGUUGAAGGUUGGGUAACACUAACUGGAGGACCGAACCGACUAAUGUUGAAAAAUUAGCGGAUGACUUGUGGCUGGGGGUGAAAGGCCAAUCAAACCGGGAGAUAGCUGGUUCUCCCCGAAAGCUAUUUAGGUAGCGCCUCGUGAAUUCAUCUCCGGGGGUAGAGCACUGUUUCGGCAAGGGGGUCAUCCCGACUUACCAACCCGAUGCAAACUGCGAAUACCGGAGAAUGUUAUCACGGGAGACACACGGCGGGUGCUAACGUCCGUCGUGAAGAGGGAAACAACCCAGACCGCCAGCUAAGGUCCCAAAGUCAUGGUUAAGUGGGAAACGAUGUGGGAAGGCCCAGACAGCCAGGAUGUUGGCUUAGAAGCAGCCAUCAUUUAAAGAAAGCGUAAUAGCUCACUGGUCGAGUCGGCCUGCGCGGAAGAUGUAACGGGGCUAAACCAUGCACCGAAGCUGCGGCAGCGACGCUUAUGCGUUGUUGGGUAGGGGAGCGUUCUGUAAGCCUGUGAAGGUGUGCUGUGAGGCAUGCUGGAGGUAUCAGAAGUGCGAAUGCUGACAUAAGUAACGAUAAAGCGGGUGAAAAGCCCGCUCGCCGGAAGACCAAGGGUUCCUGUCCAACGUUAAUCGGGGCAGGGUGAGUCGACCCCUAAGGCGAGGCCGAAAGGCGUAGUCGAUGGGAAACAGGUUAAUAUUCCUGUACUUGGUGUUACUGCGAAGGGGGGACGGAGAAGGCUAUGUUGGCCGGGCGACGGUUGUCCCGGUUUAAGCGUGUAGGCUGGUUUUCCAGGCAAAUCCGGAAAAUCAAGGCUGAGGCGUGAUGACGAGGCACUACGGUGCUGAAGCAACAAAUGCCCUGCUUCCAGGAAAAGCCUCUAAGCAUCAGGUAACAUCAAAUCGUACCCCAAACCGACACAGGUGGUCAGGUAGAGAAUACCAAGGCGCUUGAGAGAACUCGGGUGAAGGAACUAGGCAAAAUGGUGCCGUAACUUCGGGAGAAGGCACGCUGAU
This 1721-nucleotide ribosomal RNA is filed under the name Escherichia coli. Its description in RNAcentral is "partial 23S ribosomal RNA". It matches the Rfam family "Bacterial large subunit ribosomal RNA", at positions 1 to 1755 of the family's 2925-position model. The record is from RNAcentral. Lineage: Bacteria; Pseudomonadati; Pseudomonadota; Gammaproteobacteria; Enterobacterales; Enterobacteriaceae.